This 122-nucleotide non-coding RNA is filed under the name human gut metagenome. RNAcentral describes it as "FMN riboswitch (RFN element)". It matches the Rfam family "FMN riboswitch aptamer (RFN element)", at positions 9 to 130 of the family's 138-position model. Rfam says of the family: The RFN element is a highly conserved domain that is found frequently in the 5'-untranslated regions of prokaryotic mRNAs that encode for flavin mononucleotide (FMN) biosynthesis and transport proteins. This element is a metabolite-dependent riboswitch that directly binds FMN in the absence of proteins. RNAcentral also lists the same sequence under 1 other name. The record is from RNAcentral.
UUACGGGGCGGGGUGAGAUUCCCCACCGGCGGUAUGGGUCUGGCCGACCCGAGCCCGCGAGCCAGCAAUAGCUGGCCGACCUGGUGAGAUUCCAGGGCCGACGGUAUAGUCCGGAUGAUAGU